RNAcentral lists this transfer RNA (76 nucleotides) under Alcanivorax sp. RNAcentral describes it as "tRNA-Met". It matches the Rfam family "tRNA". From Rfam's summary of the family: Transfer RNA (tRNA) molecules are approximately 80 nucleotides in length. Their secondary structure includes four short double-helical elements and three loops (D, anti-codon, and T loops). RNAcentral also lists the same sequence under 2 other names. The record is from RNAcentral. Lineage: Bacteria; Pseudomonadati; Pseudomonadota; Gammaproteobacteria; Oceanospirillales; Alcanivoracaceae.
GGCGGAGUAGCUCAGGGGUUAGAGCAGAGGAAUCAUAAUCCUUGUGUCGGGAGUUCAAAUCUCUCCUCCGCUACCA